GGCAACCCUAUGGCGUAGGCUACUCCUAAUUGUUCACACCUGUAAAUGAGUUAUGCUGGCCACAAAACGGUUCAGCUAGUGACAGCUACUGACUGGGAGGAUUGCCCAUAAAUCUAGUGAAAAUUUAAAUGCAAAGUUGCUGAUACAAAUCCUGUAACUGCCUCCAACGGUUUCGGUCCGGAGAAACAAACUGAGUUCUGGAUAAGCCUGGUGAGCUAUCUGCCUGGAGCAGCCUCUUCCCUUGGAGGAGACUGUAUGAUGAGCCAGCCUGCGGGACCUGUUGAUGGCAUAUUAAGGCUUAAUGGACGAGUGGAGAACCUGCUGGAUUUCACAGUGAAGUGGGUGAUCAUGUGCCAGUAUAAUUGAAAUGCCCGACAUUCCUCCAAGCAAAAUGGACGCAUUUCUCUCACUGUUGUUGUUUUUUGUUGAUAUUCUGUUUUUAACCUUUCAUUUCAUCAGUGGCAGUCAUGAAUAAUUUGAUGUCCUAAUAGCCGGUUUGU
Long non-coding RNA from Conger conger (European conger), 500 nucleotides. RefSeq lists it as uncharacterized. The record is from RefSeq and is a predicted model, not a curated record. The transcript is spliced from 4 exons. Lineage: Eukaryota; Metazoa; Chordata; Actinopteri; Anguilliformes; Congridae.